UAGGUUGAAGAUCUUAUUAAUCGUCAAUUU
Molecule: non-coding RNA, 30 nt
Filed under: Rattus norvegicus (Norway rat)
Lineage: Eukaryota; Metazoa; Chordata; Mammalia; Rodentia; Muridae
Source: RNAcentral